Molecule: ribosomal RNA, 492 nt
Filed under: uncultured bacterium
Lineage: Bacteria
Description: partial 16S ribosomal RNA
Rfam family: Bacterial small subunit ribosomal RNA
Source: RNAcentral
AGUGAACGCUGGCGGCAGGCCUAAUACAUGCAAGUCGAACGGCAGCACAGUGAUAGCUUGCUCUUACGGGUGGCGACUGGCGGGCGGGUGAGGAGUACAUCACAUUCUUCUUUUUCGUGGCGGAUCACGUAGGGAAACUUACGCUCAUACCGCAUACGACCAACGGUUGGAAACAGUGGAUCUUCGCACCUUUCACGAUUGAUAUAGCCGAUGUCGGAUUAGCUAGUUGGCGGGGUAAAGGCCCACCAAGGCGAUGAACCGUAGCUGAUCUGAGAGGAGGAUCAGCCACACUGGAACGGAGACACGGUCCAGACCCGUCCGGGAGGCAGCAGUGGGGAAUAUUGGACAAUGGGCGCAAGCGUGGUCCAGCCAUGCCGCGUGGGGGACGAAGGCCUUCGGGUUGUAAAGCUCUUUUGUUGGGAAAGAAAAACAGCAGGAUAAACGUGCACCGUUCUGACGGUACCCAAAGAAUAAGCACCGGCUAACUCCGUG